UACGUAGGUCCCGAGCGUUGUCCGGAUUUAUUGGGUGUAAAGGGCGUGUAGGCGGGAAUGCAAGUCAGAUGUGAAAACUCAGGGCUCAACCCUGAGCCUGCAUUUGAAACUGUAUUUCUUGAGUGCUGGAGAGGCAAUCGGAAUUCCGUGUGUAGCGGUGAAAUGCGUAGAUAUACGGAGGAACACCAGUGGCGAAGGCGGAUUGCUGGACAGUAACUGACGCUGAGGCGCGAAAGCGUGGGGAGCAAACAGG
Molecule: ribosomal RNA, 253 nt
Filed under: uncultured bacterium
Lineage: Bacteria
Description: partial 16S ribosomal RNA
Rfam family: Bacterial small subunit ribosomal RNA
Source: RNAcentral